Pipra filicauda (Wire-tailed manakin) is the source of this 614-nucleotide long non-coding RNA. RefSeq lists it as uncharacterized. The record is from RefSeq and is a predicted model, not a curated record. NCBI's taxonomy places the organism in Eukaryota, Metazoa, Chordata, Aves, Passeriformes, Pipridae. The transcript is spliced from 4 exons.
AUCCCUGAACAACUGCUAGUCACUUUAAAUUAUUCUGCAUUUCAAACAGGAAAUCAUCCAAUUAGACUAACAGCUGCAGAGAUUGAAAUAAGCCUUACAUAUUUGAAAAUUAAGGAAAUGCAACUAAGUACCAAGGAAAGGAGCUAAGACACCUACAGAUACUACUCCUGCAGCUUUUGGCACUGUGCAUCCCGUAACUGGCCUUCAGGAGACGUCUCUUUUCUGAAGAGGUGGUUCCUUGAAGAAUCUCAGGCUGACAUCAGACUACCUAAUCUCUCUUUUAUUAGUUAGAAGAUUACUCUUAAGGCCAACAAGAUCAUUUACAUCCAACUUGUCCUGGAUUCAGAAAAAAGGGGAGCACCCAAGGCCCAGAAUCUUGCUGUUCAAUAUGACAUGGUCUUGCACAGAGCAUAUUUUCACUGGGUCAACUCAGAGAAACUGCUGAAACUAAGAAACUAUCCUACAGAACAGAUUUUCCUUUUUUUCCUCAGCUUAGCAGUCACUUGUGUUCCUUUCAACCCCGAAGAAUGACCCGAAUUUAAUUGCUUUGUUUCUUGGAAAAUACCAUGUUCCAUGUAUUUUCUUCCAGACAUAGUCUGAAGAUGUUAAUCAGU